Molecule: long non-coding RNA, 832 nt
Filed under: Malus domestica (apple)
Lineage: Eukaryota; Viridiplantae; Streptophyta; Magnoliopsida; Rosales; Rosaceae
Description: long non-coding RNA (MDOM_LNC012991)
Source: RNAcentral
GUCGUAGUGUCGGUACACUAGAGACACUUUCUGAUUGGAACCGAAUAGAGAGUUCAUAAAUGAACUUUCCCAUCCAAACAACAAUGUUGUAAGCUUCUAUAUGGCAAUAUAUUUUGCAUUCAUAAUGGAACAUACUAAAGUCAUUACUUUUAAUGUUUUCCAUCCAAAUAUCUCUUUAGUCAUAAUAAAGAGAUAUCUGAUUAUCUCUUCAUUCAUAAUAAAGAAACAUCCAAUGAUGGAUUAGAUUCAUAAUCUAAUACAUUUACGCUUCCUUUACGUUACUCUAAUUCUUCCUCAUCCUUUGAGGAAUCUAUCCUUUAGUAUUUCUUAAAUACUUAAGGACUCACUUGACAGUUGCCAUGGUUCUGAUCCUGGGCUUGCACUGAUAUCGUCUUGUACCGUUCUAGGUACAACUCAUAUCAAUGUUUUUCAUACAAUAUGAAAUACAUAAAUCACCUUUAUGCGUAUGCAUAAAGGAUUCUAUUUACGCAUUAUUUCUUUGGGAGUCAAAGAGUACGUUCUCUUUGAGAAGAGCAACUUCUUAGUCUCACUAGAGUUGUCCUUUUAAUUGAAGUUUAUCAUCAUAUGAGAAACUUCCUAGCAUCUAUUGUCUAUUAUUAGGGAUUGAUAUAAUCCAAUUAUAUCAUGAAAUAUAUCAUUAUAGAUUUCCAUCCCAUGUAUAUAGACUAUAUCUCCCAUAUACAUUAUAUCUUCAUAUAAUGUUUUAAAGUCAUAACUUUAACGAAGAAGUAUUCUUUUCAUUUCCAAAAUUAAUAAAUCAAAUAUAUAUUUAAAUUUUAGGAACAUGAUUAACUCCCACUAAUCUUUUGUA